GCGUUGGCCAAUUGAUUGAUGGUGCUUGCACCUGAUUGAUUUUGGUUGCCAACGAGUGGCGGACGGGUGAGUAACACGUAGGUAACCUGCCCAGAAGCGGGGGACAACAUUUGGAAACAGAUGCUAAUACCGCAUAACAGCGUUGUUCGCAUGAACAACGCUUAAAAGAUGGCUUCUCGCUAUCACUUCUGGAUGGACCUGCGGUGCAUUAGCUUGUUGGUGGGGUAACGGCCUACCAAGGCGAUGAUGCAUAGCCGAGUUGAGAGACUGAUCGGCCACAAUGGGACUGAGACACGGCCCAUACUCCUACGGGAGGCAGCAGUAGGGAAUCUUCCACAAUGGGCGCAAGCCUGAUGGAGCAACACCGCGUGAGUGAAGAAGGGUUUCGGCUCGUAAAGCUCUGUUGUUAAAGAAGAACACGUAUGAGAGUAACUGUUCAUACGUUGACGGUAUUUAACCAGAAAGUCACGGCUAACUACGUGCCAGCAGCCGCGGUAAUACGUAGGUGGCAAGCGUUAUCCGGAUUUAUUGGGCGUAAAGAGAGUGCAGGCGGUUUUCUAAGUCUGAUGUGAAAGCCUUCGGCUUAACCGGAGAAGUGCAUCGGAAACUGGAUAACUUGAGUGCAGAAGAGGGUAGUGGAACUCCAUGUGUAGCGGUGGAAUGCGUAGAUAUAUGGAAGAACACCAGUGGCGAAGGCGGCUACCUGGUCUGCAACUGACGCUGAGACUCGAAAGCAUGGGUAGCGAACA
RNAcentral lists this ribosomal RNA (749 nucleotides) under uncultured bacterium. Its description in RNAcentral is "bacterial SSU rRNA". It matches the Rfam family "Bacterial small subunit ribosomal RNA", at positions 39 to 774 of the family's 1533-position model. The record is from RNAcentral.